This is a non-coding RNA of Hemibagrus wyckioides, 1055 nucleotides long. The record is from the annotation of a RefSeq genome assembly. Lineage: Eukaryota; Metazoa; Chordata; Actinopteri; Siluriformes; Bagridae.
GAGUUCUUGCAGUAUGAAUAUGAAUUCAAACCAUGCUUCACACACAUUCAUAUUCUGUUGAUAAAUAACAAACAAACACUUUACAAUUCAUGAGAAAUGAAAAAUGACUGUAUUAUGGAUAUUAAUUUUGAUCUUCAGCACCAUGUAUACAGUUCAGAUUGAUAGACACUGGGUAACUGCACAAUCCCCCACUGACCCAUCAGUUUAUCAGCCUGAUAAAGAGCUCAGUGUGAAUAUCGGAGACUCGGCUACUCUGCAGUGUUGUAUUUUAGAAAAAGAAGUUGGAUUGAUGGUCUGGUUUAAGCAACCAAACAGAAAAAAACCUCAGAUUAUAGUAACAGUAUUUAAAAGUAGUGGAGAAGCGUUUCACAAUGGAUUCCAAAAGUCUCGUUUCCAAAUAGAAAGAUCUUCAGACUGCUUCAAUAUGAUCAUUUUAAACAUCAUUCAGUCCGAUGAAGCCAUGUACUACUGUGCACUCACAAGACCCAACAUUGUGUUUGGAGAUGGAACUUAUUUAAAAAUUAAAGAAACAUCUAAACCAGCUCUGAGUGAUAAUUCAGUGGUGUGUGAACCAACACCGCAUGGAAACAACACUGACAUGAACACACAAGAAAACACAGUGAUCGGUUUGAGAACGGCUUUGGGUUUGUGCGCACUUCUGAUUUUCUGUCUCACUUAUUUCAUACUGAUGAGAUGUGCUAAACAAAACACUUUUACAGUAGGGAACACUUUUCCAGGAACAAGGCAGGAUUCUGAAGCUGAAACACUGAAUUAUGAAUUCUCCAUGAGCUCAUCAGAUGAGUGUCUGUACUCCGACGUGAAUACCACUGUAAGAUAUGAUAUAGUUGUUUUAUAACACAGGUGAUACUAUCAUAUGGCAAAAAACAGUGAAAACAUCUUCACUAUAUGCUCAUUUAUUCCAUAUUGUGUAAUUAUGUAUAAAAUGUGUAGGAUUAUUUGGAAAGGAUUGUUAAGAAAAUUCUUAAUAUAAGACUUGAAAUUGUCUUAUAUUAACUGAAAGAUGCAUAUAUUUCUAAGAGUAAAAUUCUAUGCAA